UUGACAGGCUGGGAGCUGAAGGCUGAUCCUCAUUUACAGAACAGGUAUAGCACAGGGCAGCAGCACUGCUGGCUUCCCCACCCUGCCCUUCCAACCACUGUCUUUUCUGCUGGGCAAGAAUCACCUCCAAGAAGGAAUGGGUGGUUCAGCCUCAGCUCCAUUCAGUGUUGGGAUUUC
This 177-nucleotide small RNA is filed under the name Chelonoidis abingdonii (Abingdon island giant tortoise). RNAcentral's name for it is "TUC338 (ENSCABG00000007467.1)". The record is from RNAcentral. Lineage: Eukaryota; Metazoa; Chordata; Testudines; Testudinidae.